UUUAUACUGAUAAAGAAUGUAUUUUUCCAGAAGAUUUCCAGCAUGGCCACCUCCUGCUGGAAGCUGGGAUGCUGGAAUCAGGCCUCUUCCUGUCUGUCUUUACAGGACACUGGGCUGCACUCUGAGAAGUUCCUGUUGCUCCCCUGACCAUCAUGUGGCCAGAGAAAUUGGUCCUUUUUCGCGUUUAGGUGAUUCAGUUCCGUUCAGUUGCUCAGUCGUGUCCAACUCUUUGCGACCCCAUGAAUCGCAGCAUGCCAGGCCUCCCUGUCCAUCACCAACU
RNAcentral lists this long non-coding RNA (280 nucleotides) under Bos grunniens (domestic yak). RNAcentral describes it as "lncRNA (ENSBGRG00000013292.1)". The record is from RNAcentral. Lineage: Eukaryota; Metazoa; Chordata; Mammalia; Artiodactyla; Bovidae.